UCCUGGAUAGCUCAGUAGGUAGAGCAUGAGACUCUUAAUCUCAGGGUCACGGAUUUGAGGUCCACGUUGGGCA
Non-coding RNA from Podarcis lilfordi (Lilford's wall lizard), 73 nucleotides. Lineage: Eukaryota; Metazoa; Chordata; Lepidosauria; Squamata; Lacertidae. The record is from the annotation of a GenBank genome assembly.